RNAcentral lists this small nucleolar RNA (117 nucleotides) under Jaculus jaculus (lesser Egyptian jerboa). Its description in RNAcentral is "Small nucleolar RNA SNORA81 (ENSJJAG00000001939.1)". It matches the Rfam family "Small nucleolar RNA SNORA81". The record is from Rfam by way of RNAcentral. Lineage: Eukaryota; Metazoa; Chordata; Mammalia; Rodentia; Dipodidae.
UUCUCCCUGCACAAGAACCAACUCCAUACAUAAGAGUAACCACCAGAUCCCAAAGACUAGAGUGGAUCCCUUUCUUAAGGCCCACUGUCUUUUGUCUUAAGAUUUGGAACAAUAGUG